GGUUUUAGGGGUUGGUUUUUGGUCCUUGACAGCAGCGGCGGCGGCGGCGGCGGCAACGAGAAAAAAGCUCUUUGCUCCGAGCAACCCCCCAAAGGAAAUGGAAAUAUAAGGACAAGGGGAGCGGAACGGGGUGGAGAGGGAGCGGCAGCAACAUCCGCUCGAAGGGAUGGAGGUCUAUAGGGUUGCAACUGUGGUCGGAGGGGAUCAUGCUUGGCUGCCGCUCGAUUUCUGGGCUAUGCAACGCCUGUCGUUGCCAGACAGCCACCCGACCAUUCGAACACCCUCCCUUCGCAACUCCUGCACCCCCUCGGGCAUCCUCCCCCACCACACACACAACGCGUCCUUGUUCUUGCCAGAAAAAAGGGGGAGUGUGGGAGUUUUCCCAGGAUUUGGCUAUUUUUGGGCCUAGCUAAAGUAUGGCGAAUUUUGUUGCUUUGUUUUGCCAAGGCAAUGGCUUCACAUACAUAGUACAUAUGUACAUACUAGUGUGUGUACUAGUUAAUCUUCUAAGCAGCAGGAGUUGGAAAAAGUUGGGGUAAUAAGCAUAUAAAUAUACCUACUACAUACAUACGAUGAACAAACAAAUUAGUUCACAUUUAGCAUUCAAAAGUUACAAAAAUUGUUUUUCGAUUCUUGUAAAUUUGUCAGUUUUUAGUUGAAGCAAACUAACACCAACGUAGCACCGUUCAGGAAAUGUAAGAUAACCUGCAACAGCAUAAUCUUAUCUCUAGGUUGUUCUAAAACUACAAUGUCGAUUUGAAAGAAAUUAUUUCCUGGUUUCAUAGGUACAUAGUUAAUGGCAAUGGUCAGGGUUUUUAGAUUAAAUCUACUAAUAUAGAUAUCGUAUUACAAGAGUGCAAGCUCUAAAGAGAAAUAGCUACUAUAUGAUCACGAUAUAUGUUAUAACAAUAUAUAUAUAUAUUUGUAAGAAAAGCUGCAGUCUCACAUUUCCCAAGCUAAUCCCCUAUGUUUAUCAUCAGCAUCAAAUUCGGAUUAUAUCUGCACAAUGGUACGCAAAGCUUCGUUCCACUCCGGUUCUCUAAUGGGUUUUUGUGUAGGGUUGGAAAAUCGAUGCUUUUGGUCGGAUCGGGAGUGAAAAUGUGCGCAGUUGGCAUCCGAUAGUGAUGAUGAUGAUGAUGAUGUUGGGUAGUUUCAGGGGGAGUUUGGCUUCCUUUCACUCGGAUUAAGUCGCUAUUGUUACCAAUUCCAUCUUCGUAUCUCCUGCGUUCUCUGUGACCCAAAAAGUAAUGAGCAUAAGAAGAAAAGAAUUGAAAUUUGCAAGCGAAAGAAAACCAGAAAGUUCCAUUAACAACAAAUAUUUUUGGCAGCCUCGAUUUUUGUGCUCUCCUCAGUUUUUUUCGGGACCAAGAAGCUGAGUAACGGGGGCUUAGGGGGUUUUUUCCCGAUUGCGAGCGAGCGUUUUUAGAAAAGCACAGGCCAUCCAUCCAUCACUCGUACACUGGGAACAAAUUCGAGAGGCAUGCCUAAAACUUAAUUGCUUAGUGUUAUCUUCAUACUCAAGUCUAAUAGGUGGUCUUAAUAAAUAUACAAUUUUGUAGUCUCUUUAGAAGUACCGAAUAUACAUGUAAUAUAAAUAGGUUUUAGGAAACUAUUAAAAAAUCUUUUUCCAAGUCAAGUUCUAACACGAUCAAAGUCAUUCAAAGCAUAAUCUCAAUUUUUUUCCUCUGCGCGAAAAUCGCUGUGAAGAGUGUGAGGAAGGGAGAUAGCGAGCGAUAGAGAAAGGGACACAUGCUAAUUCUGUUUUCUGUUUCGAGUUCGAAAUGAAAACGGAGCGAAGCUCAAAAAUUCGAAUUGGAAUUGGGAGCUGUGAAAAGAGCGGCGCGAAAUCAUAAUGGAAAUCAAAAAUAGCAACACACACACACGCACACACAAAUACGGAUGAUCAAACAACGAAGUGUGUGGAAAGAAAAGCCACAAAAAUGUGUUCGACGAAAAUUGUUGAGCAAAAGCAACGGCGGAAAAAAUUUCAAUUACAUAUUGACUUUUGUUUAUUUGCUGGCGGCUUUGAAAUGGAUUGGAAUUUCGGUGUGUUGUGUUGUGUGAAAUCACGGACUCCAGUUUCUUGUGCUUUUUUUGUUCGUGUUUUACUUUUUUGAGCGGGGUGCGGCAUAAAUUUUCACUUUGCCAGGCGGCAUAACAACAACAACAAAAGCAACAGCGGAGUAGAAGUGUUGCCAAAAAUACAAGGCACACGCACACACACACAAACACUGGAAUUUCGAAUGCCAAACGAGUUUUGGAACUCUGGUUCCUCUGCUUCUUCUUUCCCUCGGCGAAUAUUUUCUUCGUCAUUCAAGAGCCAACAACAACAACAC
Drosophila melanogaster (fruit fly) is the source of this 2336-nucleotide non-coding RNA. The record is from Ensembl. Lineage: Eukaryota; Metazoa; Arthropoda; Insecta; Diptera; Drosophilidae.